GACCGUCUCAGUUCGGAUUGCAGGCUGCAACUCGCCUGCAUGAAGCUGGAAUUGCUAGUAAUCGCGGAUCAGCAUGCCGCGGUGAAUACGUUCCCGGGCCUUGUACACACCGCCCGUCACACCAUGAGAGUCGGGAACACCCGAAGUCCGUAGUCUAACCGCAAGGAGGGCGCGGCCGAAGGUGGGUCCGGUAAUUGGGGUGAAGUCGUAACAAGGUACC
RNAcentral lists this ribosomal RNA (220 nucleotides) under uncultured bacterium. RNAcentral's name for it is "partial 16S ribosomal RNA". It matches the Rfam family "Bacterial small subunit ribosomal RNA", at positions 1281 to 1500 of the family's 1533-position model. The record is from RNAcentral.